Molecule: long non-coding RNA, 628 nt
Organism: Hyla sarda
Lineage: Eukaryota; Metazoa; Chordata; Amphibia; Anura; Hylidae
Exons: 5
Source: RefSeq, a predicted model, not a curated record
AACGAAGCCAAAAACGCAAGCAGAUGCCUCACACUAUGGAGCACAAGAAUGAACCUGAACUUAUGACUGCUGGGAAAUGGAGUUCAGAGAAAGUCAUGUGACAAUCAGAAGCUCCACCCACCACACAGAUUUUUAUAUGAAAAGAGGAAAUAAGGUCAUUUCUAGUAUCGGAUGAUAUUGACAGAGCAUUAGCAAGAAAAUUCAUGAAGCUUUGAGGCUAUUUAAAGAAGAGGAAAGCAUUAAAGAAGAAUGGUGGCUAGAAAGGGAAAAGCAGGACAUGAGGUCAUCAGAGGAGACAACAUAUUACUCUAUAUACUACACUCCGCCAGAAGAAGCGCAAACCAGAGCGAAACAACUUGCCAACUUGUCCCGGUGGGCCCCUGCCUCCACUGAUCUAUGCCUGUACCUUGUUGAAUAAAGCCUGUGGAUGGUGUGAGGCCACUAGAACCAGCAAGAAGAAUAAAAGCAUUCAGAAUGCUAUGUUAUUUUAAUGUCCCAGCACCAAAGGAUGUACUGUGGGCUAAAGAUAGCCUUUGGCAUCACUGCUGUCUCUAUGUUGGACCAAUUGCUCCAUGAUGUAAUGUAUUAUACUGUUUACUGUUUUGUAUUCCUGUGUUAUGUUCUCCUU